CCUACGGGUGGCAGCAGUGAGGAAUAUUGGUCAAUGGGCGCGAGCCUGAACCAGCCAAGUAGCGUGAAGGAUGAAUGCCCUACGGGUUGUAAACUUCUUUUAUAAAGGAAUCAAGUGAGGCACGUGUGCCUUUUUGUCUGUACUUUAUGAAACAGCAUCGGCUAAUUCCGUGCCAGCAGCCGCGGUAAUACGGAGGAUGCGAGCGUUAUCAGGAUUUAUUGGGUUAUAGGGGUGCGUAGGCGGACUAUCAAGUCAUCGGUAAAAAUUCGGGGCUCAACCCCGGCGUGCCGUUGAAACUGAUGUUCUUGAGUGGGCGAGAAGUAUGCGGAAUGCGUGGUGUAGCGGUGAAAUGCAUAGAUAUCACGCAGAACUCCGAUUGCGAAGGCAGCAUACCGGCGCCCAACUGACGCUGAAGCACGAAAGCGUGGGUAUCGAACAGGAUUAGAUACCCUAGUAGUC
Molecule: ribosomal RNA, 459 nt
Filed under: uncultured bacterium
Lineage: Bacteria
Description: partial 16S ribosomal RNA
Rfam family: Bacterial small subunit ribosomal RNA
Source: RNAcentral